This 657-nucleotide ribosomal RNA is filed under the name uncultured bacterium. Its description in RNAcentral is "bacterial SSU rRNA". It matches the Rfam family "Bacterial small subunit ribosomal RNA", at positions 8 to 655 of the family's 1533-position model. The record is from RNAcentral.
AGACUUUGAUUAUGGCUCAGGAUGAACGCUAGCUACAGGCUUAACACAUGCAAGUCGAGGGGCAGCAUCAUCAAAGCUUGCUUUGAUGGAUGGCGACCGGCGCACGGGUGAGUAACACGUAUCCAACCUGCCGACAACACUGGGAUAGCCUUUCGAAAGAAAGAUUAAUACCGGAUGAUAUAGUUUUCCCGCAUGGGAUGAUUAUUAAAGAAUUUCGGUUGUCGAUGGGGAUGCGUUCCAUUAGGCAGUUGGCGGGGUAACGGCCCACCAAACCUACGAUGGAUAGGGGUUCUGAGAGGAAGGUCCCCCACAUUGGAACUGAGACACGGUCCAAACUCCUACGGGAGGCAGCAGUGAGGAAUAUUGGUCAAUGGACGAGAGUCUGAACCAGCCAAGUAGCGUGAAGGAUGACUGCCCUAUGGGUUGUAAACUUCUUUUAUACGGGAAUAAAGUGAGCCACGUGUGGUUUUUUGUACGUACCGUAUGAAUAAGGAUCGGCUAACUCCGUGCCAGCAGUCGCGGUAAUACGGAGGAUCCGAGCGUUAUCCGGAUUUAUUGGGUUUAAAGGGAGCGUAGGCGGGUUGUUAAGUCAGUUGUGAAAGUUUGCGGCUCAACCGUAAAAUUGCAGUUGAUACUGGCGACCUUGAGUGCAACAGA